GGAUUAACCCGCGGUACCUUUCGCAUUUCCGAAGCAAAAACUCACUGUAUCUUCUUUUCAUGCCUCUCUCACCGAACCCUCUCGCCAGAAAACCUUCAUUUCAUUCGGAAAAUUUUCGAGGCCAAAUCUCUGAUUUCCUUUGUAAUUUGUCUCUCUAAGAAAGAGAAAUGGUGAAAGAAGAACAAAAAGUUUCCUCAAAUGUCAAAAUCGAACCCCAAUUUUUUCAAUUAAAAGUAAAUUUGAGUGAAACCCUAAUUUGUUCUUCAGCUUUCUAGUUUGCUGUUCGGGUUUGAAGAUUUAACAUGAUCAGGAUUCAGGUAUCGUCAACAUCAGUAGGAAUCCUUGUGGAUCUUUGACGGUGUUACGACUCUGUGGAGACUGCCUCAUUUUUGGUAGCCUUAGAAGUUUGUUAUAAAGAGAUAGAAUGACAAUCAUUUACUCAAGAUAACUUAUCCACAUCUGAGUUCUGACAAGCAUUCAGUGAACUUUUACUUGUUUAGAGUUGGGGGAUAUCUGUAGAAAAGUUGGUCUACCUCCUGGUGUACUCAACAUUGUAACUGGAUUAAGUCCUGAAGCAGGUGCUCCUUUAGCGUCCCAUCCUCAUUUCGACAAGGUGAUUGAAUGUAAGGGCCUUUAAAUGGUUCGUUAAAGCUGGAGUUUGGUACCGAAAGAAGCAAUAUCGCAUUGCUCCAGAAUGGGAACCUCGAAAGAUCUACAGGCUCAUGACAUCCAUGUGAUUUUGUUUUCGUUUAUGUAUAGUAUAGGCAAUAUCGCAUUGCUCCAGAAUGAGAACCUCGAAAGAUCUACGGUUUAGUAGUUACCAGCCAGUUACGAUAAUUAAUUAGUCAUACUUGUACAUGUACUCAUAGUGUGGAUUACGUAUACUUAAUGCAUGAGCCCAUGGUAUGAUUUUCAGUUGAGUAGCUUUCUAAUACUUGUGUUUGUCGUGAUUCGCCUUAGCUCUUAAUUGUUAUCAUUUGCAUUUGCUAAUGUGUGCUCUUAUUGAUACCGAGUAGGUUUCGUAAGAAUCAUACAGUUUGGAUGCGAAUUUAUGGCUUCUUAGACUCAACUAGUUUGAACCAAAGUGAAUGAGUACCUUGCUGUUUUAUUCAUUGGAUUCUUUCUAUCUUAAUUAUCAGUAGGUGUAACUGGUCCUGUUCUCCUCCGACAACUAUUAACCUUACGAACUUGCAGAGACAAGCACUUCUCUGUAAGAGGUUGGGUUCCUAUGCAAGAGCAGUCUGGUUCAGUGCUGGUUAUAGACUGGAUGAUACACAGUGGUCCUCUACUAAGGAUUGGAUUUCUUCUUGGUUUACAGAGUUGGACAGCUCCACCGUUGCUAAGAUGGCCACUAUCUGUUGGUUGGAAAGAGAGAUGUUCGACAGUGUUCGAAAACAAAUCUCAAAACCCUCUUCAGUUGGCAUAAUCCAUCUCCAGAUUUACCCUAAAUACAGUUGAAGUCCAAAAUUCCAUUACCAAUACUGUUAGGAAUGUUGUGCUGCAUAGAUGGAGCCCUCCUGUCAUCAAUCCUAUUAAACUAAAUACUGAUGCUUCUUAUUGUAAAAGUACAAAAACUGGAGGUUUGGGACUAUUAUUCCGUGAUUUUGCGGUA
Long non-coding RNA from Papaver somniferum (opium poppy), 1612 nucleotides. RefSeq lists it as uncharacterized. The record is from RefSeq and is a predicted model, not a curated record. The transcript has 8 exons. Lineage: Eukaryota; Viridiplantae; Streptophyta; Magnoliopsida; Ranunculales; Papaveraceae.